This 239-nucleotide ribosomal RNA is filed under the name uncultured Leptolinea sp. RNAcentral's name for it is "partial 16S ribosomal RNA". It matches the Rfam family "Bacterial small subunit ribosomal RNA", at positions 1144 to 1382 of the family's 1533-position model. The record is from RNAcentral. Lineage: Bacteria; Bacillati; Chloroflexota; Anaerolineae; Anaerolineales; Anaerolineaceae.
CGGUACUGCCGGUCUUAAGCCGGAGGAAGGUGGGGAUGACGUCAAGUCAGCAUGGCCUUUAUGUCCUGGGCUACACACACGCUACAAUGGCCAACACAAUAGGUUGCUAAGCCGCGAGGUGGAGCCAAUCCUCAAAGUUGGUCUCAGUUCAGAUUGCAGGCUGCAACCCGCCUGCAUGAAGAUGGAGUUGCUAGUAACCGCAGGUCAGCUAUACUGCGGUGAAUACGUUCCCGGGGCUU